GCUUAACACAUGCAAGUCGAACGGACAGUUAUUUAUAGCCUCGGCUAUGAGUAUCUGUUAGUGGCAGACGGGUGAGUAAUGCGUAGGAAUCUGCCUAGUAGUAUGGAAUAGCUAUUAGAAAUGAUAGGUAAUACUGUAUAAUCCCUGCGGGGGAAAGAUUUAUCGCUAUUAGAUGAGCCUACGUUAGAUUAGCUAGUUGGUAAGGUAAUGGCUUACCAAGGCAAUGAUCUAUAGCUGGUCUGAGAGGACGAUCAGCCACACUGGAACUGAGAUACGGUCCAGACUCCUACGGGAGGCAGCAGUGGGGAAUAUUGGACAAUGGG
This 323-nucleotide ribosomal RNA is filed under the name Ehrlichia ruminantium (heartwater rickettsia). Its description in RNAcentral is "bacterial SSU rRNA". It matches the Rfam family "Bacterial small subunit ribosomal RNA", at positions 46 to 375 of the family's 1533-position model. Lineage: Bacteria; Pseudomonadati; Pseudomonadota; Alphaproteobacteria; Rickettsiales; Anaplasmataceae. The record is from RNAcentral.